GGUCAGAUGGCCGAGCGGUCUAAGGCGCUAGCUUCAGGUUGAUAUCUCGUCCGGAUAUCUUAGGAUUACCGGUUCUUGACGAUCUCAAUUGGCAAUGCUAGUCACGCAAGUGGCGUGGGUUCGAAUCCCACUCUGAUCA
This is a transfer RNA of 139 nucleotides. It matches the Rfam family "tRNA". From Rfam's summary of the family: Transfer RNA (tRNA) molecules are approximately 80 nucleotides in length. Their secondary structure includes four short double-helical elements and three loops (D, anti-codon, and T loops). The record is from Rfam.